Molecule: long non-coding RNA, 275 nt
Organism: Adelges cooleyi (spruce gall adelgid)
Lineage: Eukaryota; Metazoa; Arthropoda; Insecta; Hemiptera; Adelgidae
Exons: 3
Source: RefSeq, a predicted model, not a curated record
GUAUCUAAAAAAAAAUUGUUUUAAUUGCAGGAUGCACCAUAAUGUAAAAUAUGUCAGAUAAUGCUGGUCCUGAAUUCAUCUUUAUUCAAUUUAAAAAAUAUUACAUAUUGACAUUGCUUGUUUAGAGUAAUACCGUUAUCUAUAAUGUGUUACACGAAUUAUUUAUGUUAAAAAAUUUAUCAUGAAUCAAUAGUUUUAACACUUUUCAAAUGUAAACAAUUUCAAGCAAUUAAACUUCCAUUCAAAUGUAAUUACACUUGUAAUUAUAAAAAAUG